This 723-nucleotide ribosomal RNA is filed under the name uncultured organism. RNAcentral's name for it is "bacterial SSU rRNA". It matches the Rfam family "Bacterial small subunit ribosomal RNA", at positions 82 to 791 of the family's 1533-position model. The record is from RNAcentral.
GCUGAAUACACGACCGGCGCACGGGUGAGUAACACGUUUGCAACCUUCCUCUAACUGGAGAAUAGCCCGAAGAAAUCGGAUUAAUACUCCAUAAAGUCAAUUUAAGGCAUCUUUUAUUGAUUAAAGCUCCGGCGGUUAGAGAUGGGCAUGCGUGUCAUUAGCUAGUUGGUGAGGUAACGGCUCACCAAGGCCACGAUGACUAGGGGGUCUGAGAGGAUGAUCCCCCACACUGGUACUGAGACACGGACCAGACUCCUACGGGAGGCAGCAGUGAGGAAUAUUGGGCAAUGGACGCAAGUCUGACCCAGCCAUGCCGCGUGCAGGAUGACUGCCCUAUGGGCUGUAAACUGCUUUUGUUUGCGGAAGAANACCCCCGAUCGUNGAUCGGGGCUGACGGUACCAUACGAAAUAAGCAUCGGCUAACUCCUGUGCCAGCAGCCGCGGUAAUACGGAGGAUGCAAGCGUUAUCCGGAUUCAUUGGGUUUAAAGGGUGCGCAGGCGGAAUAUUAAGUCAGUGGUGAAAUCCUGCAGCUUAACUGUAGAAAACUGCCAUUGAUACUGAUAUUCUUGAAUAUAAGUUGAGGUGGGCGGAAUGUGUAAUGUAGCCGGUUGAAAAUGGCUUAGAUAUUACACAGAACACCAAUUGCGAAGGCAGCUCACUAAACUAAUAUUGACGCUGAGGCACGAAAGCGUGGGUAGCAAACCAGGAUUAGAUACCCUGGU